AUGUGCACGGGGAGAGAAACCCGGGGGUGAGACUGCAUUCCUUUAAGGAGAGCACAUCCCGGAGAGAAAAGGACCAGGGGCCCUUGGGAAUGGUCCAGGCAAGUGAAGAAGGUGUGACUCCUUCUCCAGUGCUAAGGCACUCCCCCGAAUGACUUAGAAUAAAUGACACUUCCACAAAAGAAAGGCAUAAUUUAUACCCUGAAGGAACACAGAGAAUGCCUGAAGGUGACCUGCACAUUAAAUGUUUUCAAAAGAGACCCCAGAAGGUAUCUCUGAAGCUGACAGAAAACCUUUGACACCAUCAGGUCUAGAAUUUUACAUCGAAGAGCAGGACUUCUGAUAAUGAUUGCUACCUCUGAGUGGGAAUGAAUUGGAAAGAUCAAUUUGGAUAUAAAUCACAUUAGAAACCACUGAAAACAAGAAAAGCCAAUGUUUGAGUUCCUUUUCCAAAGACAAUUCCUUAUUUGCCAGCACCAAAAUACUCCUUGAUAAUGCUAGCUCUCUGGUAGCUACUCUUUGUACUGGUGACAGGAUGCUGUGGAAAUUUCUGUGCAAAUAACAUCAGCCAUUCUUUACCACACCACUAGUAAGUUACCACACAGGAAAUCAGCAUGCUCAGUGCACUGCACUUCUUUGCCCCUUCCCCAGAGCAACCUUGGUGUUUUAUGAUAAC
Molecule: long non-coding RNA, 673 nt
Organism: Talpa occidentalis (Iberian mole)
Lineage: Eukaryota; Metazoa; Chordata; Mammalia; Eulipotyphla; Talpidae
Exons: 3
Source: RefSeq, a predicted model, not a curated record